CCAAAGGCUGAAUAGACAAACUUCCUGUUGACAUUGUCUCGGAGAAUACCGUUCUGUACCAUUUUCCAGCGUUCAUCACUGUGCUUCUCAAUACUCAGUGGCUUCUUCUUUUCCUCUUUAUCAACCAACACCAUACUUCUUUUCAAAUACACAGUAAACUAAAUUCCGCUCUUAACAUUAAACUUCAAAGUUCAAACAGAAACUAUUUCCUAAACUAAACCCCAACGUUGUUUCAUUCAUGCCAUGCCAUGCCAAACUCUUCAACAUUAUUUCCCACAAACUUUCUCAAACACUCACUUCAACAAUAUCAUCAUAAACCCCUCUCUCUCCUUCUCUCUCAUUACUCUUCUUCCAAUAAUUUCCCACAUACCCAUCAACCCUCUUCACCACCACUUCCACCCCAAAUCUUCAAAUCACGUUCCCACGAAUGGGGUUCUUACAAAUUAGGAGAUUUAUCUUUCUAUUCCCUCAUCGAAAAUUUCUCUGCUUCCUCUGAUUUUGUCUCCUUAGAACACCUCCUUCAUCAAAUGAAGCGUGAAAAUCGAGUCUUUAUUGAAAAAAAUUUCAUUUUAAUGUUCAAGGCUUAUGGGAAAGCCCAUUUACCUCAUAAAGCUUUGGACUUGUUUCAUAAAAUGGAGGUUGAGUUUCAUUGUAAGCAAACUGUGAAAUCUUUUAAUUCUGUUCUCAAUGUUGUUAUUCAAGAGGGUCUUUUUAAUCUUGCUUUGGAGUUUUAUUCUCAUGUUAUUCAAUCCAAGGGUUUUAAUAUUCAUCCUAAUGAACUCACUUUUAAUUUGGUGAUUAAGGCUUUGUGUAGACUUGGUUUAGUUGAUCAGGCUGUGGAGGUUUUUAGAGGGAUUAGUGUUAGGAAUUGUGUUCCUGAUACUUAUACUUACUCUACAUUGAUGCAUGGUUUGUGUAAUGUUGGUAGAAUUGACGAGGCUGUUUCGUUGUUGGAUGAGAUGCAGAUAGAAGGUACAUUCCCUAACCCUGUUGCAUUUAAUGUUUUGAUAAGUGCAUUGUGUAAGAAAGGCGAUUUGGUUCGUGCGUCCAAGCUUGUUGAUAAUAUGUUUCUUAAGGGUUGUAUUCCUAAUGAAGUAACAUAUAAUUCACUUGUUCAUGGUUUGUGUCUUAAGGGUAAGUUGGAUAAGGCGGUGAGUCUAUUGAAUCGAAUGGUUUUGAAUAAAUGUAGGCCUAAUGAUGUUACUUUUGGAACACUCAUUGAUGGCUUUGUUAAGCAUGGUAGAGCUUUGGAUGGUGUUCGCGUGUUGGCCUCCUUGGAAGAGAGAGGUCAUCGCGGGAACGAGUUUAUUUACUCGUCUCUUAUUAGUGGCUUGUUCAAGGAGGGAAAAUGCGAGCAUGGAAGGCGAUUGUGGAACGAGAUGGUUGAAAAAGGAUGCGAACCAAAUACUAUAGUGUAUAGUGCUCUUAUAGACGGUCUUUGUCGGGAAGGGAAGCCGGAUGAAGCAUCAGAGUACCUAUUAGAGAUGGAGAAUAAAGGCCACAUUCCCAAUUGUUUCACUUAUAGCUCCUUGAUGUGGGGUUAUUUUGAAGCAGAUGAUUGUCAUAAAGCUAUUCUUGUUUGGAAAAAGAUGACAGAUAAUAAUUGUAAUCAUCAUGAGGUUUGUUACAGCAUACUUAUUAAUGGAUUGUGCAAGAAUGGGAAGUUUAAGGAGGCAUUAAUGGUGUGGAAGCAAAUGUUGAGUAGAGGAAUCAAACUAGAUGUUGUGGCUUAUAGUUCAAUGAUUCAUGGAUUUUGUAACGCUGAGUUAGAAGAACAAGGGAUGAAACUUUUCCAUCAGAUGCUUUUUCAGGAGCCGAACAUACAACCGGAUGUGGUUACAUACAACAUACUCCUUAAUGCAUUUUGCACGAAGAAUAGCAUCUCCCGCGCUAUCGAUGUUCUAAAUCUUAUGUUGGAUCAAGGUUGCGAUCCUGAUUUUAUUACUUGCGAUAUUUUCUUAAAAUCAUUGAGAGACAAUAUGAAUCCGCCUCAAGAUGGAAGGGAGUUUCUAGAUGAGCUUGUAGUCCGAUUAAUUAAGCGACAAAGAACAGUUGGAGCUUCCAAUGUUAUAGAAGUGAUGCUUCCUAAAUUUUUGCUGCCUAAAGCUUCUACUUGGGCCUUAGUUGUUCAACAUCUCUGCAAACCUAUGAAAGUUCGAAAAACCAUCAAUGAAUGUUGGAGCAGGCUGUGUUGCUGACAUCUUGCUUUUUUAUUAAUCAAUUUUGAAGAAGUUCAAUACUUUGCCGUGAACAACAUAGCCAACUAAGGCCCCUCCAAUUUGUGCUACCAUGUCGAUACUGCCUAAAUUACGGUGUGUCACAGUUGAUGUUACCGGCACCCUAAUGGCUUACAAAGGGGAGCUUGGUGACUAUUACUGCAUGGCAGCCAAAGCUGCUGGCCGUCCAUGCCCGGACUACAAACGUAUGCAUGAGGGCUUUAAGCUUGCAUAUAAGGACAUGGCAAAGAAUUAUCCAUGUUUUGGGUUUGCAGCCAAAAUGCCAAACAUUGUAUGGUGGAAAACUUGUGUGCGAGAUUCAUAUGUCAGGGUAAGAUAUUUUUCGAAGUCAUUACAGUUGGAGUUUACAUGUCAAUAUGCCUAUGUUGCUUCCAUGGUUUGAAAUUUGGUUGCCAUUGUGGUUACACUGCAAACCUUUAUAUUGUGGUAAAAUGUGGACAAAUGCUGCGACAAUUGCGGGUGCCAUGAUGUUGGGGAGAUCUCUAAAACUGUUAUGUUGCAGCUUGUGUGCGAGAUUCAUAUGUCAGGGCUGGAUAUGAAUAUGAUGAGGAGACAUUU
This is a non-coding RNA of Cicer arietinum (chickpea), 2795 nucleotides long. Lineage: Eukaryota; Viridiplantae; Streptophyta; Magnoliopsida; Fabales; Fabaceae. The record is from RefSeq and is a predicted model, not a curated record.